UUCCUGAUGUUUAGUUGGAAUCUAUUUUCUUGAAACUUGAAGCCAUUGGUUCGAGUCUUACCCUCCAGAGCAGGAGAAAACAAGCUUGUUGCCUCUUCCAUGGGACAUCCCUUGAGAUAUUUGAAGAUGGCUAUCCUAUCUCCUCUCAGCCUCCUCUUUUCUAGGCUAAACAUACCAAGCUCUUUCAACAGUUCCUCAUAAGACUUAGCUUCCACACCCUUGAGCCAGCGUGGUGUAGUGGU
Molecule: non-coding RNA, 242 nt
Organism: Podarcis lilfordi (Lilford's wall lizard)
Lineage: Eukaryota; Metazoa; Chordata; Lepidosauria; Squamata; Lacertidae
Source: the annotation of a GenBank genome assembly